This 117-nucleotide non-coding RNA is filed under the name Homo sapiens (human). Lineage: Eukaryota; Metazoa; Chordata; Mammalia; Primates; Hominidae. The record is from Rfam by way of RNAcentral.
GCCGGGCGUGGUAGCUCACGCCUGUAAUCCCAGCACUUUGGGAGGCUGAGGUGGGUGGAUCACCUGAGGUCAGGAGUUUGAGACCAGCCUGACCAACAUGGUGAAACCCUGUCUCUA